GCUUGCUCCCGGAUGUUAGCGGCGGACGGGUGAGUAACACGUGGGUAACCUGCCUGUAAGACUGGGAUAACUCCGGGAAACCGGAGCUAAUACCGGAUAGUUCCUUGAACCGCAUGGUUCAAGGAUGAAAGACGGUUUCGGCUGUCACUUACAGAUGGACCCGCGGCGCAUUAGCUAGUUGGUGAGGUAACGGCUCACCAAGGCGACGAUGCGUAGCCGACCUGAGAGGGUGAUCGGCCACACUGGGACUGAGACACGGCCCAGACUCCUACGGGAGGCAGCAGUAGGGAAUCUUCCGCAAUGGACGAAAGUCUGACGGAGCAACGCCGCGUGAGUGAUGAAGGUUUUCGGAUCGUAAAGCUCUGUUGUUAGGGAAGAACAAGUGCAAGAGUAACUGCUUGCACCUUGACGGUACCUAACCAGAAAGCCACGGCUAACUACGUGCCAGCAGCCGCGGUAAUACGUAGGUGGCAAGCGUUGUCCGGAAUUAUUGGGCGUAAAGGGCUCGCAGGCGGUUUCUUAAGUCUGAUGUGAAAGCCCCCGGCUCAACCGGGGAGGGUCAUUGGAAACUGGGAAACUUGAGUGCAGAAGAGGAGAGUGGAAUUCCACGUGUAGCGGUGAAAUGCGUAGAGAUGUGGAGGAACACCAGUGGCGAAGGCGACUCUCUGGUCUGUAACUGACGCUGAGGAGCGAAAGCGUGGGGAGCGAACAGGAUUAGAUACCCUGGUAGUCCACGCCGUAAACGAUGAGUGCUAAGUGUUAGGGGGUUUCCGCCCCUUAGUGCUGCAGCUAACGCAUUAAGCACUCCGCCUGGGGAGUACGGUCGCAAGACUGAAACUCAAAGGAAUUGACGGGGGCC
This 859-nucleotide ribosomal RNA is filed under the name Bacillus sp. (in: firmicutes). Its description in RNAcentral is "bacterial SSU rRNA". It matches the Rfam family "Bacterial small subunit ribosomal RNA", at positions 78 to 921 of the family's 1533-position model. Lineage: Bacteria; Bacillati; Bacillota; Bacilli; Caryophanales; Bacillaceae. The record is from RNAcentral.